RNAcentral lists this unclassified non-coding RNA (8867 nucleotides) under Drosophila yakuba. RNAcentral's name for it is "GE16632". The record is from RNAcentral. Lineage: Eukaryota; Metazoa; Arthropoda; Insecta; Diptera; Drosophilidae.
ACAGAGCAGCGCAGUUCGUUUUGUGCGCGCGUAGUGAACGGUUGUCUCUCGGUUGCUCGUCGGGGAGUUGCAAAUUUAGCGACAGCGACUACAAAUGGCGACUUGUGCCUGCCGGACCCUCGAGUUAAUUGUUAAUUGUUAAUUGCUGUGGUGCUAAGCGUUGGCCGAACGGUUUAUUCUAACCCUGGUGGCAGGAGGAAGAACAAAUUUGUGUCCAGAAGGAAGAAGAAGAAGAAAAGCACCAAAAAGAUGUGAGAGAUGUGUAAUUAAAACUAGACUUUUGACUAAAAACUAGAAGAGCGAAGGAAGGCCGCUGAGAAAACAUAACGAGAAUAAAGCAAAAUACAAGAAAUACAAAUUCCAAAAGGCAACAACAAAUGUUCAAAUCUGCGGCGUCGUCGCUGCGUCGACGUCGUCCAAAAACAACAAUAACAGCAAAAGCAACAACAGCCAUCGAGAUGCCGUCGCAGCCGCAGUUGGCGUCGCUGCUUGCAGUGUUGCUUUUGCUCUGCUACUGCGACAGCUGCUUUUUUUGUUACGCGGAUGCCAAUCUACAGCAGCAGAACUCCAUCGUCCAGCAGCAGCAGCUCCAAGCCCCACGAUUCACCACGCAUCCAUCGUCAUCGGGGUCGAUUGUCAGCGAGGGCAGCACCAAGAUACUACAGUGUCAUGCGCUGGGAUACCCGCAGCCCACAUACCGAUGGCUGAAGGACGGCGUCCCCGUCGGCGACUUCUCAUCCAGUCAGUUCUACCGAUUCCACAGCACGCGGCGCGAGGAUGCGGGCAGCUAUCAGUGCAUCGCCAGGAACGAUGCCGGAUCCAUAUUCAGCGAAAAGAGCGACGUUGUCGUGGCCUACAUGGGCAUCUUUGAGAACACGACAGAAGGUCGUCUGACAGUGGUCAGUGGUCACCCCGCGAUAUUCGACAUGCCGCCCAUUGAGUCUGUGCCCGUGCCGUCGGUGAUGUGGCAGUCGGAGGACGGACCGCUGAACUAUGACAUCAAGUACGCCUUCACCCAGGCCAACCAGCUGAUUAUCUUGAGUGCGGAUGAGAACGAUCGCAGGGGAUACCGGGCCAAGGCCAUCAACACGCAGCUGGGCAAGGAGGAGAGCAGCGCCUUCGUUCACCUGAACGUCAGCGGGGAUCCGUACAUAGAGGUGGCGCCCGAGAUCAUAGUUCCUCCGCAGGAUGUCAAGGUUAAGUUGGGCACCGGCGUGGUGGAGCUGCAGUGCAUCGCGAAUGCCCGACCCCUGCACGAACUGGAGACCCUUUGGCUGAAGGACGGCCUCGCCGUGGAAACGGCCGGAGUGCGGCACACCCUCAACGAUCCGUGGAACCGCACCCUGGCCCUGCUGCAGGUGAACAGCUCGCACUCCGGCGAGUACAGCUGCCAGGUGCGACUGCGCAGUGGUGGCUAUCCGGCCGUCAGUGCCUCGGCCCGCCUCCAAAUCCUCGAGCCACCGCUCUUCUUCACGCCCAUGCGAGCGGAAACCUUUGGCGAAUUCGGCGGACAGGUGCAGCUCGCCUGCGACGUGGUCGGUGAGCCCACGCCCCAGGUCAAGUGGUUCCGGAAUGCAGAGUCGGUGGAUGCGCACAUCGAGAGUGGAAGAUACUCGUUGAGCACGGAUAAUACGCUGGUAAUUAAGAAACUAAUCCUGGAUGAUGCUGCCAUGUUUCAGUGCCUGGCCAUCAACGAGGCGGGCGAGAAUUCGGCGAGCACCUGGCUGCGCGUAAAAACUUCGGCUCCAAUCAUGGAGCUGCCGCCCCAGAAUGUGACCGCCCUGGAUGGCAAGGACGCCACUAUCUCCUGCCGGGCUGUGGGUUCGCCCAAUCCCAACAUAACCUGGAUAUACAACGAGACCCAACUGGUGGACAUAUCCAGCCGGGUGCAGAUACUCGAGUCGGGCGACCUGCUCAUCUCGAACAUCCGAUCCGUGGACGCCGGUCUCUAUAUCUGCGUGCGGGCCAACGAGGCGGGCAGCGUCAAGGGCGAGGCCUAUCUGAGUGUUUUGGUGCGGACGCAAAUCAUCCAGCCGCCCGUGGACACAACGGUGCUACUCGGCUUAACGGCCACCCUGCAGUGCAAGGUGUCCAGUGAUCCCAGCGUGCCGUACAACAUCGACUGGUAUCGCGAGGGUCAGUCGUCGACGCCCAUCAGUAAUUCGCAGCGCAUCGGUGUCCAGGCGGACGGGCAACUGGAGAUCCAGGCGGUGCGGGCCAGCGAUGUGGGCAGUUAUGCCUGCGUGGUCACCUCUCCCGGGGGAAACGAGACGCGGGCCGCGCGCCUCAGCGUCAUCGAACUGCCAUUCCCGCCCAGCAAUGUGAAGGUGGAACGGCUGCCGGAGCCGCAGCAGCGCAGCAUCAACGUGUCCUGGACUCCGGGCUUCGAUGGCAACAGUCUAAUAUCCAAAUUUAUUAUCCAGCGACGUGAGGUCUCCGAAUUGGAAAAAUUCGUAGGUCCAGUUCCAGACCCCCUGCUCAACUGGAUCACCGAGCUGAGCAACGUCUCGGCGGACCAGCGUUGGAUCCUGCUCGAGAACCUGAAGGCGGCCACCGUCUACCAGUUCCGGGUCAGUGCUGUGAAUCGGGUGGGCGAGGGCUCGCCAUCGGAGCCCAGCAAUGUCGUCGAGCUGCCCCAGGAAGCUCCCUCCGGUCCACCGGUGGGCUUCGUGGGAUCCGCCCGCUCCAUGUCGGAGAUCAUCACGCAGUGGCAGCCGCCGCUGGAGGAGCAUCGCAACGGCCAGAUCCUGGGCUACAUCCUGCGGUACCGCCUGUUCGGUUACAACAAUGUGCCUUGGUCCUACCAGAACAUCACCAACGAGGCGCAGCGCAACUUCCUCAUCCAAGAGCUGAUCACCUGGAAGGAUUACAUUGUGCAGAUCGCGGCGUACAACAAUAUGGGCGUGGGCGUCUACACCGAGGGUUCCAAGAUCAAGACCAAGGAAGGAGUUCCGGAGGCGCCCCCCACCAAUGUGAAGGUGGAAGCCAUCAACUCGACGGCAGCCAGAUGCCGCUGGACUCCGCCCAAUCCGCAGCAGAUCAACGGCAUCAACCAGGGCUACAAGAUUCAGGCAUGGCAGCGUCGGCUGAUCGACGGCGAGUGGCGGGACUUUGAGCGCCGCAUGAAGACGGUGCCGCCCAGUCUGAUUGAUCCACUGGCGGAGCAGACGGCCGUCCUCGGAGGCCUGGAGAAGUUUACCGAGUACAACAUCAGUGUGCUCUGCUUCACGGACCCCGGCGACGGGGUGGCCAGUAUUCAGGUGGCAGUGAUGACCAUGGACGACGUGCCCGACGAGGUGACCGGCUUGCAUUUCGAUGACGUCUCCGAUCGGUCGGUGAAGGUGCUCUGGGCGCCACCGCGCUCCUCGAACGGCAUUCUCACGGGCUAUACGGUUCGCUACCAAGUCAAGGAUCGCCCGGACAGCCUGAAAUCAUUUAAUUUGACUGCGGAUGACACGGAGUUGACGGUCAACCAAUUGCAGGCCACCACGCACUACUGGUUCGAGAUCUUCGCGUGGACGCGUGUGGGCAGUGGAACUCCGAAAACGGCCACCAUUCAGUCCGGCGUGGAGCCAGUUCUGCCACAUGCACCCACUGCUCUGGCCCUAUCCAACAUCGAAGCCUUCUCCGUGGUCCUCCAGUUCACUCCGGGCUUCGAUGGCAACUCCAGCAUCACCAAGUGGAAGGUCGAGGGCCAAACAGCCAGAAAUAUGACCUGGUUUACCAUUUGCGAGAUCAACGAUCCCGAUGCCGAGACCUUGACCGUCACUGGCCUGGUGCCGUUCACCCAAUACAGGCUGCGAUUGAGUGCCAGCAAUGUGGUGGGCAGCUCGAAGCCCUCGGAGGCCACCAAAGACUUCCAGACGAUCCAGGCCCGGCCCAAGCAUCCGCCAUUCAACGUCACCGUGCGGGCCAUGAGUGCCCAGCAACUGAGGGUUCGCUGGAUUCCACUGCAGCAAACCGAAUGGUACGGCAACCCCAGGGGCUACAACAUCUCCUACAAGCAGUUGGUCAAAACUCCAGGCACCAUAAAGUACGUACCCCGUUCGGUGGUAAUCGAGGAUCACACCGCCAACUCCCACGUGCUGGACAGCUUGGAGGAGUGGACGCUGUACGAGGUGAAAAUGAAUGCCUGCAACGACGUGGGAUGUUCGAAGGAGAGUGACACCGCCGUGGAGCGAACUCGCGAAGCUGUCCCCAGCUACGGCCCACUGGAUGUCCAGGCCAAUGCCACAUCGUCCACCACGGUGGUUGUGCAAUGGGGCGAGGUGCCGCGUCAGCAUCGGAAUGGCCAGAUAGAUGGCUACAAGGUGUUCUACGCCGCCGCGGAUCGGGGCCAACAGGUGCUGCACAAGACGAUCCCGAACAAUGCCACAUUCACCACCACCUUGACGGAGCUGAAGAAGUACGUGGUCUACCACGUGCAGGUCCUGGCCUACACGAGAUUGGGUAAUGGUGCUCUCAGCACUCCGCCCAUCAGAGUUCAGACCUUUGAGGACACUCCUGGAGUACCGUCGAACGUUAGCUUUCCCGAUGUCUCCUUGACCAUGGCGCGCAUCAUUUGGGAUGUGCCCGUGGAUCCCAAUGGAAAGAUCCUGGCCUAUCAGGUCACGUACACCCUGAACGGCAGUGCCAUGCUGAACUACAGUCGAGAGUUUCCGCCCUCCGAUCGCACAUUCCGCGCGACGGAAUUGCUGCCCGGAAAGUACUACAGUUUCAGUUGUACGGCGCAGACGCGACUGGGCUGGGGAAAAAUAGCUACUGCCCUGGUGUACACCACCAACAACAGGGAGAGACCCCAGGCACCGUCGGUUCCGCAGAUAUCCCGCAGUCAGAUUCAGGCCCACCAAAUCACCUUUAGUUGGACACCAGGCAGAGAUGGCUUCGCGCCGCUUCGCUACUACACGGUGGAGAUGCGUGAGAACGAGGGCAGGUGGCAACCACUUCCGGAAAGGGUGGAUCCAUCGCUCAGUUCCUUCACAGCCCUUGGCCUGAGACCCUACAUGACCUACCAGUUCCGCAUACAGGCCACCAAUGAUCUGGGACCGUCCGCCUUCAGCCGGGAGAGUGUGAUCGUGAGAACUUUGCCCGCUGCUCCGGCAGUGGGAGUGGGAGGGCUCAAGGUGGUGCCCAUAACCACCACCUCGGUGAGGGUGCAGUGGAGUGCUCUGGAGACGGCCUUGUGGAACGGCGAUGCCUCAACCGGCGGCUACAGGAUUCUGUAUCAGCAACUCUCCGACUUCCCCACCGCCCUGCAGUCCACACCCAAAACGGAUGUGCACGGCAUCAAUGAGAACAGUGUGGUUCUGUCGGACCUGCAACAGGAUCGCAACUACGAAAUCGUGGUGCUCCCAUUCAAUUCCCAGGGUCCUGGGCCUGCCACGCCCCCAGCAGCGGUGUAUGUGGGCGAAGCGGUGCCCACUGGGGAACCGCGAGCCGUGGAUGCAGCGCCCAUUUCCAGCACGGAAGUGCGUUUGCUGUGGAAGCCGCCAAAGCAGAGCAUGCAGAAUGGAGACAUACUGGGCUACAAGAUCUACUACCUGGUCACCUACUCGCCGCAAGCCUUGGAACCCGGUCGCAAGUGGGAGGAGGAAAUCGAGGUAGUCUCGGCCACGGCCACUUCGCACAGCCUGGUCUUUCUCGACAAGUUCACCGAGUAUCGCAUCCAACUGCUGGCCUUCAAUCCUGCGGGAGAUGGACCGCGAUCGGCCCCAAUUACCGUGAAAACACUGCCAGGCGUACCAAGUGCUCCGCUGCACCUGAGAUUUUCGGACAUCACCAUGCAGAGUUUGGAGGUUACCUGGGAUCCGCCGAAGUUCCUGAACGGCGAGAUCUUGGGCUACUUGGUCACCUAUGAAACCACCGAGGAGAAUGAAAAGUUCAGCAAGCAAGUGAAGCAAAAGGUAUCCAACACCACACUUCGUGUUCAAAAUCUGGAGGAGGAGGUCACCUACACAUUCACUGUCCGCGCUCAAACGUCCGUGGACUACGGACCGGGCAUAAGUGAGAAUGUGACAACGGGGCCCCAAGAUGGCUCCCCAGUUGCGCCGCGAGAUCUCAUCCUGACCAAGACGCUGUCCAGCGUGGAAAUGCACUGGAUAAACGGGCCUUCGGGGCGGGGACCCAUCCUGGGCUAUCUCAUCGAGGCGAAGAAGCGAGAAAAAGGAGAGCCGUCAUUCGUUUACGACUCGCGCUGGACGAAAAUCGAGCAGACCAGGAAGGGCAUGAUGCAGGAUUUCACGGUCAGCUAUCACAUACUGAUGCCCUCCACUGCGUACACAUUCCGGGUGAUUGCCUACAAUCGCUACGGCAUUUCAUUUCCCGUGUAUUCCAAGGACUCGAUCCUGACGCCCUCCAAGCUCCACCUCGAAUAUGGUUACCUGCAGCACAAGCCCUUCUAUCGGCAAACCUGGUUUAUGGUUUCAUUGGCGGCCACUUCGAUUGUGAUCAUCGUGAUGGUUAUUGCGGUGCUGUGCGUCAAGAGCAAGAGCUACAAAUAUAAACAGGAGGCACAAAAGACGCUGGAGGAAUCCAUGGCCAUGUCCAUUGACGAGCGACAAGAGUUAGCCCUGGAGCUGUACCGCUCUCGCCACGGCGUUGGAACCGGGACCCUGAACAGCGUGGGCACUCUGCGUAGCGGCACCUUGGGCACUCUGGGCAGGAAGUCCACAAGUCGCCCGCCGCCGGGCGUCCAUCUCGGCAAGAGUCCGCCGCGCCCCUCGCCCGCCUCCGUGGCGUACCACAGCGACGAGGAGAGCUUGAAGUGCUACGAUGAGAAUCCGGACGACAGCAGCGUGACCGAGAAGCCCUCGGAGGUUAGCAGCUCGGAGGCAUCGCAGCACUCGGAGAGCGAAAACGAAAGCGUGCGCAGCGACCCCCACUCCUUUGUGAAUCACUAUGCCAACGUGAACGACUCACUGCGACAGUCGUGGAAGAAGACCAAGCCGGUGCGAAACUACUCCAGCUACACCGACUCGGAGCCGGAGGGCAGUGCAGUGAUGAGCCUCAAUGGUGGCCAGAUUAUCGUCAAUAAUAUGGCCAGGUCGAGGGCACCACUGCCCGGCUUCUCGUCAUUCGUCUGACAAUCAACGGAGUUCUAAGAUCUAAGCACCAGUAGCAACGGCACCGUCAUCCGCGAGACCUUUGUCUAGGCCUGCGAACACGAGGAGGGUCCGGAGAAGGAGCACGGAGCACGGAGCUGGGGGAAUGGCUGGCUGGCUGGCUGGGGCAACUCGAACCUUUCGGAGGACUACACCCGUGUACCCACAUAUCAGACUGAUCCAGGCCCAUCUGCCCUCCUGGUCUCAGCCCCUCCAGCUCCGCGACGAUGCGCUGCUACAGGGAUAUACAUAUUACUUAAUACCAGACAUUCAUAUUUAUUUUUGGAUGUACAGUGUGAGUGCGAUGCUGUCUGCCACGCCUCCAAAGGCGGCAUUUAUGGAAUAGGGCGCGACAAAUCGAAUCCGAAUUCUGUGAUAAAACGAUUUCCUUGUGCCCCAAUAAGUUUUUCAAACGAUUUCCAAGUGUGUUCAGUGCGUGGCAGGUAGUCUGGUCUUUUAAGUGACUGUGACUGUGAGUGUGAGUGACGUACGCGCUUCGUCUGCGCAAUCUCAUUAUAUAUAAAAUGGCAAGAAGUUAUGUUUUAUGUUUAUUUUUUUUUUAUGUGCGAAUAAAGCUAGAAAAUCUACAAGUACGACAAGUAUGAAGACAAGGACAAAGCACCGAUGCAAUCGGUGGCUUAAGAAACGAAGUUGAGAGAUGAGACACGCAGAGAAAUCGCACGCAGUAAACAAAAAUCGUUGUCUUAUAAGAAGGAUAGGUGUAUUUUUUUGGAAGGGCAUCAGAGAAGGGCUAUAGCUAUCAGAAUGAGAAUGAGAAGGAUAUCUAAGAAGGUGGCUUAGGAUAUAUCGAUAGGCCAUAUUAUUGCAAUUUCCCUACCACAUAAGUCCACAAACGCAAGCAACAGUAACACAAAGCAAGCAAGCAAACAAACAAACAAACAAACAAACAAACAAAAUGCAAGCAUUCAAGGCUGCAUGGCACACAAACACAACAAUCGAGGAAACGAAACGAUUCGUUCAGAGCGCAUGCGCAGCAGACCUAGCAUUAAGUACGAUCUUUUAGAGGUAAGAUGCAUUUUUUUUGUUAGUUGGGGCCGCGUCUCCACGGGAAGCCGACGCCCCGAUACUCUAGCUCGUAACUUUUCGAUUGUUUAAUUCCCGACGCUUAGAUGUAAUCGUACUCGUACCCGUACUCGUACUCGUAUUUGUAUUUGAAUGCGGUUUAUAUUUAUGACUAUAUUUAUAUAUCGAUGUAUACAUGUAUAUCUGAAAACUUAAACGACUGAUUAUAUAUUUUCCCCCGAUUAGUUGUACACUUAACUCCUAAACCCUUUUUUGUAAUACCUACGCAUUAACUACGCUAAGACCACUUUGGCACUUUGGCGCUUUGGCCGUUGAAAACGAAUGAAAACGGAGUGGAAAGCUGAAGGCUUUCCGAGUUUUCCCCCAAUCGCAAGCUAAUUUCCACUUCAAAGACUCGAAGCACAAGUUCAUCUAGUUAAGUAAAUGUAUUUGUAAUUGUUGAAUUGAGGAUUAAAGGAUAGUUCUCCACUUCUUGAGAGGCGCGUUUGAUGUGGAGUAGCUUUGGAUGGAAAAGCUGAAAAAGAUGGAAAAGCUGAAAAAGAUGGAAAAGCUGAAAAAGAUGGAGAAUAUGAAAAUGGUGGAGCUUAGGGAUCUUCGCUCGGGGCUAGUUGAAAUUCGUGCAGCAAGCGCAAAGUAUUAAAAUAUUGAUAAAUACAAUUUAAAUGUGUAAAUGUAAUUGAUCGAGCAUCCGAAUAUGAAUUAAUAAAAGAACAUGAAAUCAAU